UACGUAGGGCGCAAGCGUUGUCCGGAAUUAUUGGGCGUAAAGAGCUCGUAGGCGGUUUGUCGCGUCUGCUGUGAAAACCUAAGGCUCAACCUUGGGCUUGCAGUGGGUACGGGCAGACUAGAGUGCGGUAGGGGUGACUGGAAUUCCUGGUGUAGCGGUGGAAUGCGCAGAUAUCAGGAGGAACACCGAUGGCGAAGGCAGGUCACUGGGCCGCAACUGACGCUGAGGAGCG
Molecule: ribosomal RNA, 232 nt
Filed under: uncultured bacterium
Lineage: Bacteria
Description: partial 16S ribosomal RNA
Rfam family: Bacterial small subunit ribosomal RNA
Source: RNAcentral